ACGGAGGGUGCGAGCGUUGUUCGGAAUCACUGGGCGUAAAGCGCGUGCAGGCGGGUUUUUAAGUCUGAGGUGAAAGCUCCGGGCUCAACCUGGGAAGUGCUUUGGAAACUGGAAGUCUAGAAUACGGGAGAGGGUAGUGGAAUUCCUAGUGUAGGAGUGAAAUCCGUAGAUAUUAGGAGGAACACCGGUGGCGAAGGCGGCUACCUGGUCCGAUAUUGACGCUGAGACGCGAAAGCGUGGGGAGCAAACAG
This 251-nucleotide ribosomal RNA is filed under the name uncultured prokaryote. RNAcentral describes it as "partial 16S rRNA". It matches the Rfam family "Bacterial small subunit ribosomal RNA", at positions 525 to 775 of the family's 1533-position model. The record is from RNAcentral.